CCUACGGGUGGCAGCAGUGGGGAAUAUUGGACAAUGGGGGGAACCCUGAUCCAGCCAUGCCGCGUGUGUGAAGAAGGCCCUCGGGUUGUAAAGCACUUUCAGUGAGGAAGAACGCCUGGUGGUUAAUACCCAUCAGGAAAGACAUCACUCACAGAAGAAGCACCGGCUAACUCCGUGCCAGCAGCCGCGGUAAUACGGAGGGUGCGAGCGUUAAUCGGAAUUACUGGGUGUAAAGCGCGCGUAGGUGGCUUGAUAAGCCGGUUGUGAAAGCCCCGGGCUCAACCUGGGAACGGCAUCCGGAACUGUCAAGCUAGAGUGCAGGAGAGGAAGGUAGAAUUCCCGGUGUAGCGGUGAAAUGCGUAGAGAUCGGGAGGAAUACCAGUGGCGAAGGCGGCCUUCUGGACUGACACUGACACUGAGGUGCGAAAGCGUGGGUAGCAAACAGGAUUAGAUACCCCAGUAGUC
Molecule: ribosomal RNA, 465 nt
Filed under: Vreelandella stevensii
Lineage: Bacteria; Pseudomonadati; Pseudomonadota; Gammaproteobacteria; Oceanospirillales; Halomonadaceae
Description: partial 16S ribosomal RNA
Rfam family: Bacterial small subunit ribosomal RNA
Source: RNAcentral